CUACGUGCCAGCAGCCGCGGUAAUACGGAAGGUCCGGGCGUUAUCCGGAUUUAUUGGGUUUAAAGGGAGCGUAAGCCGGAGAUUAAGUGUGUUGUGAAAUGUAGACGCUCAACGUCUGACUUGCAGCGCAUACUGGUUUCCUUGAGUACGCACAACGUUGGCGGAAUUCGUCGUGUAGCGGUGAAAUGCUUAGAUAUGACGAAGAACUCCGAUUGCGAAGGCAGCUGACGGGAGCGCAACUGACGCUUAAGCUCGAAGGUGCGGGUAUCGAACAGGAUUAGAUACCCUGGUAGUCCGCACAGUAAACGAUGGAUGCCCGCUGUUGGUACCUGGUAUCAGCGGCUAAGCGAAAGCACUAAGCAUCCCACCUGGGGAGUACGCCGGCAACGGUGAAACUCAAAGGAAUUGACGGGGGCCCGCACAAGCGGAGGAACAUGUGGUUUAAUUCGAUGAUACGCGAGGAACCUUACCCGGGCUUGAA
Molecule: ribosomal RNA, 481 nt
Filed under: uncultured bacterium
Lineage: Bacteria
Description: bacterial SSU rRNA
Rfam family: Bacterial small subunit ribosomal RNA
Source: RNAcentral